GCCCCUUCUGCUAGCUAGCUAAACCCUUGUGGUGUUAGCUGGAACUUUCUAGAAGCAUCCAUGUCCCAGACAGAGUAAAGACUGGUGGAAAAAGUGGGGAAAAGGGGUUGUUGGAACAGCUUGCCACCAGCCAUCAGCCACGCCAGGCUUACGCAGGGGGCAGCCCUCAGUGUCAGGGAUCCUGAGGUGGCAAAGGCCGACCCUGGUGCAGGGGUGGACUAUCCAGUACCUGGCCUGGACUACUUACAGUCGACCAACCCAGGAGUGGCAAGAGCACGGAAGGAUUCCCCCAGCGUCCCAGGUGCCAGAGUGUGUGUUCAGUGAAGGGUGAGGACCAUCUGCCGGGGCUGGGUGAAAUCAGUGCAACAUGCAGGUGCUGGGGUAUUUACCCCAGCACGCAAGAUCACUAGCAGUCCUCCAGCCCCGGCCCCCGUCCUGAUGAUGUAAUUAUUUCCCAGUGGCACCUGGGAGCCACGGCCGCCAUUCGGAGGCAUCGCUCACAGCCAAGUAUGCAGAUGUUUCUAAUUGCUUUCCAUUACCAAGAAUAACAGCUGUUUAUAUCUAUCAGCAAAUAAUUCACAAGAGUUCCAGACUGUUAGGAUAACAUAUCCCACCUGGUCACCAUCACCAGUUGUCAACAGCCGAGGGCUGCGCUUGCCAGGCCUCUUGUUUACCGAAUCCCCCGAUAAAAUCGGGCUUAGAGUCACCUUCAGCCAUCUUGCUUUGCACCUCCCAGGAUUUCCUAUUUUAUCUUACAAGUCAAUCUUUAAUUAUCAUCUCAAAAGAAGACGGAAAAUUACAUUUUGUUUUUGUCAUGAUAUCCUGUGCUGUUAUUGUGCCCAGCUAUAUCAAAUAUGCAUUUCACACUAUACCCUUAAAGCUCUACUAAUUAGUAGCAAGUAUUUGAAUGACUACAUGUAAGUGGAAAAGUGUCACUUAAACCCCCCAGAGUUUAUGGAGAUUAAACCAUAGCAACAAGGAGUGAAUAUUGCACUUGCAUUCAACUCCAAAGUAAUGCUUACUGUAUGUUACUCUGUGUCUGUUUGAUGAGUUUAUAGACAACUGUUUGCUAAGUUGUCAUAUGUUUCCUAAUUUCAUAUGUCAGGGUUGUGUGUUACUCAAAACAAUCUUAAAAAUUUGUAAAUAAAUAGAGCUUUUGAACCUAAAACUGUUGUCAGGGUAGUCAGGGCCUUUUUGCAUAGAAGCUUAAAAAGCUAAUUCUUCCUUUGGGAUUGUUUGUAAUUUUAGGGCAUGAGUUACUAAUUUAAGAGACAGAUAUUGUGGUUUUCUGGUGUUUAUAGUCUUAAAAUGUAA
Sander lucioperca (pikeperch) is the source of this 1314-nucleotide long non-coding RNA. RefSeq lists it as uncharacterized. The record is from RefSeq and is a predicted model, not a curated record. Lineage: Eukaryota; Metazoa; Chordata; Actinopteri; Perciformes; Percidae. The transcript has 4 exons.